GGCAGCUAAAUGCAAUGCAUUUUUACCAUUGGACCUAGAAAUUUCCAGUAAGGUGCAAUCCUUUGACAGCAGUUCAUUGACCACUGCAAUAUGUCCUCUUGAGGCAGCAGUUAUAAGAGGGGUUGCAUUUGAAGGGCCAAAUGUUUUACUUAGUCCGGUAUCAUGCUCUAAAAGCAAUUGGACGAUUCCAUGGUGUCCUUGACUUGCAGCUAUAUGCAAAGGAUCAAAUCCUGACCGAUUCUUCUUAGUAACAGUAUCCUUGUUGCAGUACUUCAAUAAUUCUUUCAAUACCUCAAGAUAUCCCUUCGCUGCUGCUGUAAAGAGUGCUGUCUCUCCUAAUUCAUUCACUUCAUUCACUACGGAUGCUCUGAUCUCCGCGACCUCUUGAUUAAAGUCAUCGCCGCUCAGCGUCCCGACCAUUUGACUAUCAAUGUCAUUAAGUAUCUGCUUCACUGCUGCUAGAUCACCUUUCUGAGCUGCUAAAUGAAGCUCAGUGUCAUUGUGCCUUCCCGUAACCUGUUUUACAUAUUUCUUUUUCCCUGCUUGGUCAAUUCUCUUGCCAGAAUUGGAAAGCACCAGAGCUGGUGCUGUUGCGGAAGAUGGAGAUGGGGUUGGUGAUGGCUCAGCUAGAGGGUUAUGGCUUGGUGUUGGAGUAAUCAGUCCUUUCUCGACAUCUCUCUCACCUUCUUCCACAGGAGAAGCCAUAGAAAGGGGAAAAAAAUUAAUUUCAGAGAGGAAUUGAAGUAAACGGAGAGUCAAGAAAAAUGAGAGUUUUUAUCAGAUUUGAGAAAUGAGAA
This 797-nucleotide unclassified non-coding RNA is filed under the name Hevea brasiliensis (rubber tree). The record is from RNAcentral. Lineage: Eukaryota; Viridiplantae; Streptophyta; Magnoliopsida; Malpighiales; Euphorbiaceae.